Molecule: ribosomal RNA, 483 nt
Filed under: uncultured bacterium
Lineage: Bacteria
Description: partial 16S ribosomal RNA
Rfam family: Bacterial small subunit ribosomal RNA
Source: RNAcentral
GACGAACGCUGGCGGCGUGCUUAACACAUGCAAGUCGAACGAUGAAGCUGGAGCUUGCUCCGGUGGAUUAGUGGCGAACGGGUGAGUAACACGUGAGCAAUCUGCCCUUGACUCUGGGAUAACUGCGGGAAACUGUAGCUAAUACCGGAUACGAGGCUCGAAGGCAUCUUCGGGUUUGGAAAGAAUUUCGGUCAAGGAUGAGCUCGCGGCCUAUCAGCUUGUUGGUGAGGUAAUGGCUCACCAAGGCGACGACGGGUAGCCGGCCUGAGAGGGUGACCGGCAACACUGGGACUGAGACACGGCCCAGACUCCUACGGGAGGCAGCAGUGGGGAAUGUUGCACAAUGGGCGAAAGCCUGAUGCAGCAACGCCGCGUGAGGGAUGAAGGCCUUCGGGUUGUAAACCUCUUUUAGCAGGGAAGAAGCGAAAGUGACGGUACCUGCAGAAAAAGCACCGGCUAAAUACGUGCAAGCCGCCGCCGUAA